AACAAUGUCAAUUUUUAUUACAACAAAUCUCUGACAUUCACACAUCAAAAGUAAGUCAGUAUAAUUCAGGUCAAUUUUGCGAACAUGAAUUUGCUACUAAAAGUUUCUUUGAUAAUUGGACCAAUACUUAAUACGAUGUUUUUGCGUGCCCUGGUUCAGUGGGUAGGACUGCGUCAGAAAAUGCACAUAGUUAUGCUGAAGUACAAUGAAACGGUAGAGUAUUUUAAAUAAUUAACCAAAUAUGUAUUCAAUACGCACCGAAGGCUAUUUUAUGAUAUAUUUAUAAUUAUACACUAUUUCCGAAUAAAAUAAAUUAAUGUACUCAAAUCACUGAAGUUGUACACAAUUAAGUUAUAUUUAUAAAGAUGAGUUGAAAAAUAAAUCGAAAAAAAAUAAA
Molecule: long non-coding RNA, 397 nt
Organism: Aethina tumida (small hive beetle)
Lineage: Eukaryota; Metazoa; Arthropoda; Insecta; Coleoptera; Nitidulidae
Exons: 2
Source: RefSeq, a predicted model, not a curated record